UCUCUCUCUCUCUUCUCUCCAACAUGGGCGACGCAGAGGCAACGGUGAGGUGAGGUGAGCGCGGCGGCAGCGACGGCGAGGCAGGGCGGCAUAGGGGGUGGGCGCGAGCAGCGUCUGAGUGGCGAGCGGCGACAGCAAGGCGAGCACGACGGUGGAGGAGGCGAGGCAGGGCGGUGCAGGGGCGCGGGCGCGAGCGGCGUCCGGGUGGCGAGCGGCGUCUGGGUGGCGAGCGGCGGAGGAGGCGAGCGCGGUGGCCGAGGAUGAGCUCCUCCUCCCCUCACCGCCGCCAUCGCCUGCAGCGUCGCCCCCACCCCUCAGCCACCGCCCGCCUCUAUCCUCGACGUCACGAGUGGCCUCCGCCACCACCUGCCGCCAUCCCGCCGCCCCAAGCUCCGUCCGCCCCCGCCGCCGUUCGUUCCACGCGCGCCGCCGCCUCUCCGCCAUGGCCACCGCCAUACGCACCGACGCUUCCGCCUCGUCUGCGUCACCCUCAUCCCCCGCCGUCGCCGCCUUCGUGUCACCCGCCACCGCCGCCGCUGCUCUGUCCCCCGCCCGCCGCCCGUGAGAGAGAGAAGAGAUAGAGGAGGAGAGAGAGGAAGAGUGAAGAGGAGUAUGACAAGUGGGUCCCACAAAUUUUUUAUAAAUAGAAUGUUGACUGGACUGCCAUGAAUACGCCACGUAAACCUAAACCACCGCAGAUUGGGUCGAGGGGGGUAAUUCGUCCAGUUUGUAUAGUUGGGGGUGAAGAAUACUAAUGUGUUCGGGGGGAGGGGGUUAGUCGUACUUUUUCAUUUCCGGCUUUCAUAUAGGGAGUUGCUAUAAGACAUUUGACAGUUUUGUAAAAACUUCCAAACGUAACUAGCUGAAGUAUAAUUAGAUCAUAAUAACUUAUAUGUAAUUGCCUAAUUCGUACCCCCAUGCACUCUUGUUCCCAAGGUUGCGGCUUAGAACCCCAUCGGUGCAUGUCACAAUAGAUGACUCCCUUGCACGAAUCUCAAUGUCAUGCAACGAUCCACAAAAUUGAAAGUUUUAAAAGAAAAACCGUUAAUAGUUUUUUUUAGCUAAUCCAUUUCAUACAUGACGAACCUAUACUAAUAUAAAAAACAUCAGUUCAUCGAACUCAAAUGUUUUUUUAUCCUUAUAUUUGUUCAUCCAACGGUCCAUAGAGUUGGAUUUACCCCUCAAUUAGCGAUCCCCAUCUCAAGUACGCAGCAGUUAGCGCAAAAAUAAAAGAAAACAAUUAGUCUCCCACGUCUAAACAGCAGUUAGGAUCGGUCAAAGCAAAAAAAAAAAAAAAAAAGGAACGCUCCCUUUUGUGCGCCAGCCCGCCGCCGCCUCCUCCCGCCGGAGCCGCUCAGCUCCUCCUAGCGCGCGCCAGCCCGCUGCCGCCGCCUCCCGCCGGAGCUGCUCGCCUCCUUCACGUGCUCGCCCGCCGGAGCCGCCUCACCCUACCCACCGCUGCCUGCUUCCCUGCUCGCGCCGCGCCGUGAUGGAGAGGAAAGAGAGGCGGGGUCUGCUCGCCCUACCCCGCCGCCUCCUCGCGUGCGCAGGCCGGACAUCCAGGCGUCGCCGCCGGAAAGGGGAUAUGAGGUGGCGGAGAUUCUUGCUAGGAGGAGGAGAGGGGGCCAUUGGAGGAGGGCUAGAGGUCGCUGCGCAUGGCCCGUGGGCGGUGGAGAGAUGAAGCCAGGAGGACGUCAGCGUCGGCGAGGUUGACUGGGCAAGAGGCGAGCGUCAACAGACGUUCCAGGGAGGAGCAGUCCGCUGGCGCGGUCGCAUGAGAGGGUGCCGACCGGAGGCAGAGCCGAGGACCCCUAGGACCGCACCCGCGCCACCACUGCUGCCAUCGUCAACAUCCUAUAUGAUUUUUCGUUGUUGUUGUUAUCAGGGAUGCGCUGGAACAAGGGCACAGGACCAGGGCCGCUGGACAUCAUCGAUGCUAGCAGAUAAGGACACCAACAACAGUUGAGGUUGAUGUUCCAUAUUCAUGCUUGCAAUGUGUUUGAUGAAAUGUUUAACUAGCACUAGCAUCAUCUCUUGUUUACAAUUUGACUAUUUGUAUUGAUGUCAUACUAACCAAAUUUCAGGUUGAUUGUUUACUGCUUUCAAAUUAACAAUUCAAUGGUUCUUGAUGUGUUCUACUUAACCUUUGCAUUUGUAGUAGUGUAAUUCUGAAGGUACAAAACACUAUUUCUACUGAACUUCGUCAAUUUAAGCAAAACUUUUGAACAUAUGGUCAUCCAUUGAGGCUCCCGCAAUUCCAGUUUGCAUGUUCUGCCACCAUUUUGGAUCAUAUUUUCCAUGCUUAUGGAAGGACUUAAUGAACUGAAGUAGUUUGUGUUGGCAGUGAUCUCCAUUGGAUAUCCCGUCUCUUCAGCCGGUCGUCAAUGAUACAACCAGGUCACGCAUGAGGUAGCAGUCCACUCCAACCCACCUACUGAAGACUUGUCUCAUUUGGUUUGAUUGAUGCGUGGAGUGAGGCACAUGCUGUCCAGAUCAAGUAGAACAUCAGCUUAUGAGAUCUGAAAGCAACAAAAGGGUACCAAUUUUACACCCAUGUAAAAUCCAGUGAUUUCAGUCCAUUCUUUGUGGCUAUUUUCAUACUGCAUCUUGGCAUUUGCUAUCCGUUUAAUAUGCUUGGCAAAUGAACUUGAAUUAGUACAAGUGGAUCUUUAGAUUUGUAUGUAGAAGGUCGAGAUGUUUGCAAAUGACAUAUGAGUUGAGUUGAGUGAUCUAGAAUUUAGUUCCUAUAGUGGAAUAUGGAUAGCUCCAGAAAUUGAUUUUUUUAGUCCAUUUAUUUUAAGCUCUACUAUUUGUUAAGUUUAUUCUCAAAAUAUUUAAUUUAUAGUAUUAUCCACAAUAAUUGGAGGGCAAAACUGACCAAAUUAAAGUUGCCAUAUGUUCAUCUGGAGUCUGAAAGCUGGCCUUGGUCUGCUUCAUUUUGGUGUUGUUGUGACUCCAACCGGUGACCGGAGCCCGUACUCACCGCUAGCUACCAUCCCCAACCUGCCCCAAUCUUUCUCCAGGUUAUGUUGCUAGCACUUGAUCUGUACACGCUGUGGGAUAAUUGCUUGUUGACAAGGAAGAUCAAAUCCUGAUGGUGGAAGAAUGGCACCCCCUGUGCUCCAGCUAACAAUCUGAUUAGUUUCCUAGAUGCUUGAUUAUUGAUUUUAUGUGUGAUCAUUUUAUUUUGUUUUUGUAUCAGGGCUGCAUAGAGUAUAAAAGCUUUGCCCCCCUAUGCUUGCACUGAGAGACUCUUCCGUAGCUGUCAUCGCAUAUAGUGUUGCAAGCAGUAUCCUAAACACUUAAAAGUAGGACUCACUAAAUUGAAGAAAAAACAAAUAGCUCUACCUUGCUUAUGAUGGUCCUUCAUAUUGGAGCACAUCUUCCAUGGGUCUGUAGCAGCUCAUCCUGCUCAAGGUUGACUAUAAGUUUUGGUCAGUGAAGGGGAUGUAAUUAGUAAUGGAAUUAGAACACAGGUUCCUUGACGAAAUUUGAAGAUGUAACCCGCCACCCAUGUUUCGCAGCCAUCGCCCAUGGACUUGCCAAGUUUCUGGUGGUGCCCAUUGUGGAUGAAAUUACUGAUUGCCUGAAGUACUCAAAGUUUCAUGAGUAUAACAAAGAUUACAGCUUGGGUAUCUGUAAAGUGGUUAUGUUGAGAUAAAAGGACAAUAAUUUGAGAUUUCUGUUUACAUCUCAAAUGUUCCAUUUAAUUUUUUUACGCUACUUUAUAACUUCGCCUUUCAGUUUAAAUCUCAUAAUAUGCAUUGUUUCUUUUAUCCAGGAUUGAA
Non-coding RNA from Oryza sativa Japonica Group (Japanese rice), 3788 nucleotides. NCBI's taxonomy places the organism in Eukaryota, Viridiplantae, Streptophyta, Magnoliopsida, Poales, Poaceae. The record is from RefSeq and is a predicted model, not a curated record.